RNAcentral lists this ribosomal RNA (294 nucleotides) under uncultured bacterium. Its description in RNAcentral is "partial 16S ribosomal RNA". It matches the Rfam family "Bacterial small subunit ribosomal RNA", at positions 399 to 691 of the family's 1533-position model. The record is from RNAcentral.
GCGUGAGUGAAGAAGGCCUUCGGGUCGUAAAGCUCUGUCAGGUGGGAAGAAAAUGCCCGGGUCAUGCCGGGCCUUGACCGCCACCAAAGGAAGCACCGGCUAACUCCGUGCCAGCAGCCGCGGUAAUACGGAGGGUGCAAGCGUUGUCCGGAAUCAUUGGGCGUAAAGGGCGUGUAGGCGGCCCAUCAAGUCUGGUGUGAAAGCCCCCGGCUCAACCGGGGAAGUGCAUUGGAAACUGUUGGGCUUGAGUGCGGGAGAGGAAGGUGGAAUUCCCAGUGUAGCGGUGAAAUGCGU